RNAcentral lists this ribosomal RNA (466 nucleotides) under uncultured bacterium. RNAcentral describes it as "partial 16S ribosomal RNA". It matches the Rfam family "Bacterial small subunit ribosomal RNA", at positions 28 to 507 of the family's 1533-position model. The record is from RNAcentral.
GACGAACGCUGGCGGCGUGCUUAACACAUGCAAGUCGAACGGUAAGGCUCCAGCUUGCUGGGGUACACGAGUGGCGAACGGGUGAGUAACACGUGGGUGACCUGCCCUGCACUUCGGGAUAAGCCUGGGAAACUGGGUCUAAUACCGGAUAGGACCAUGGUGUGGAUACUGUGGUGGAAAGUUUUUUCGGUGUGGGAUGGGCCCGCGGCCUAUCAGCUUGUUGGUGGGGUAAUGGCCUACCAAGGCGGCGACGGGUAGCCGGCCUGAGAGGGUGGACGGCCACAUUGGGACUGAGACACGGCCCAGACUCCUACGGGAGGCAGCAGUGGGGAAUAUUGCACAAUGGGCGGAAGCCUGAUGCAGCGACGCCGCGUGGGGGAUGACGGCCUUCGGGUUGUAAACUCCUUUCACCAGCGACGAAGGGUUUCUGACGGUAGAUGGAGAAGAAGCACCGGCUAACUACGUG